Dermochelys coriacea (leatherback sea turtle) is the source of this 1437-nucleotide long non-coding RNA. RefSeq lists it as uncharacterized. The record is from RefSeq and is a predicted model, not a curated record. The transcript has 4 exons. Lineage: Eukaryota; Metazoa; Chordata; Testudines; Dermochelyidae.
CAAGGGAGGAGGACUGGCUCCUGAGCUGGAAGGUAGCACCUUAGACAGAGCAGUGCUGGGGAAAGGCAGAAGGAGCUGGGGAGCUCUGGCCAAGGAAAACCCCAGGCUGCCAGCCUAGGCCAGGCAGGUGCAUAGGGCCAAUGGGGAGGUGUCCCAGGAACAAUAGCAGGGUAAGGGGAGAGAAGGAGGGCAGAGAGGCUGCUGCUAGAGGGUCCCUGGGUUGGGACCCAGAGUAGUGGGUGGGCCUUGGUCCCCCCCUUCCCCUUGUGCUACACCUGGCUGAAGAGGAGUGUGGCCUGAUCCAGGCUGUGGCAAGAGGCUAGACUUAAAGGCUGCAGCUGGCCACUUCAGCAGGUGCAGAUUGUGGACUGCUGGUAACACCAAGCCCCUGGAAGGGGGUGAGACUAGAGCAAUGGGUGCUGCGGAGAGCAGUGUCCUGGAGUGGAUGUUGCUGAGCAGGGAGAAGUGUGGGUCCAGAUGGCGAGAGACAGAUGGGAGACCGCUGACAGAGGGUGCCCUGCAAUGGGCAGAGCUAAUUCCUGAUGUGCCAGCAGGAGGCACAGCAGUGGGAGGAACAUUUAUUCUGAAAUGGAAUGCCCAAGAUAGUUCUUCACUCAGAAGGUCAUUUUGCUGUCUUCUCAGAGCCAGGAUCUCAUGAGGAAAAACCUUGAUCGCAAGAUUUCAUGUGCAUCUGAACUCUAGCACCACAGAUCCAAUAACGGGAUGCCCAGAAGCAACACAGCAAUGAAAAAUUACAGGUGAUAAGGCAGGAUUAGAAGAAGUAGACAGGCUGCUUGAUGUCUUCAGCAUCUCUAAUCCAAGGAACCCAUUCUCAGCUAAAGAAAUUGUGCACAGUUCCACUGCAAUCAAUGGCCCGAUCCUCUGCUGGCGGUUUGAAUGGAACGACGCCUGCUCACAUGAGCUGUAAAUCUCUACCCAGCCUUCUCCUUGUCCCAGUGAAACGUUUCCUUGUUCAUCCAUCUAUGCCUGCUCAUCCUUGCUGCACCAGCUUCUUCAUCCCCCACUGAGCUACCACUUAAUUGCUUCCAUGAGAUGUCAGCUGGAUGAAGCCUGCUCUAUUUAAAUGGCAUUCCUAAUCUCGGCCAACUUUGUGGGUUACACCCCCCCUGAACCAAGACUCCCUCUCCAUUAUUUCCUUAAUGGUUUCAUUCAUUAAUGAGAUCGCUUAAUUGCACUUAGCUUUAUUCCCUGUCACCACUACGUCAAAAAGGAAAGGAGAGUCAUUAAUCAUGCUCAGUGCUUUUGUCCCUCGCAGAGACAGAAUCUGAUAGAAAGCUAUGAAGAGGUCACAGGCUGCAAGGAAAAAUCACCUAAUAAAGAUAUAUCUGAAGCAUGUUCUUCCCCCACCCUGAAAGCUGAAAUCCAUGUGUUACGCUGUAAUGCCAGCAGCACUAUAAUUAAAGGGCUUCUGUUUCA